AAAUGACCUCAAAUCAGGUAAGAAUACCCGCUGAACUUAAGCAUAUCAAUAAGCGGAGGAAAAGAAAAUAACAAUGAUUCCCUUAGUAACGGCGAGUGAAGGGAGAAAAGCUCAAAUUUUAAAUCUGCUAGGUUUUACCUGUCAGAAUUGUAAUUUAAAGAAGCGUUUUCCGCGUCUCGGUUGGCCCAAAUCCUUUGGGAUAAGGUAUCAUGGAGGGUGAGAAUCCCGUUCGGUUGACCUUAUGACGCAUUACGAUACGCUUUCUAAGAGUCGAGUUGUUUGGGAUUGCAGCUCAAAAUGGGAGGUAAAUUUCUCCUAAGGCUAAAUAUCGGCGAGAGACCGAUAGCGAACAAGUACCGUGAGGGAAAGAUGAAAAGAACUUUGAAAAGAGAGUAAAAUAGUACGUGAAAUUGUUGAAAGGGAAACGAUUGAAGUCAGUCGUACCGACGAGAAAUCAGCUUAUCGUGUGUUAACUUGUGGGCGUGCGUGAGUUUCGGCCUCGCUGUUUGCAUGUUUGUGCGCUUUGGGUGUACUUUUUCGUAUGGUUGGCCAACAUCAGUUUCGAUUACUAUAAAAUGACUGGCGGAAUGUAGCUUCGAUUUCGGUUGAAGUGUUAUAGCCUCUGGUAGAUGUGGUGAUUGAGACUGAGGAUUGCAACGAAUAUCCUUUGGGCUAUCCGUCUGGCCUCUGAAAGUUGCUUGGGUGCUGAAAGCUUGCUUAUGGUUAUCUAAGUUAACGGUCAAUAGGUUAGAACGUGAUUACAUUCGUUAAGGAUGUUGGCGUAAU
RNAcentral lists this ribosomal RNA (786 nucleotides) under uncultured Glomeromycotina. RNAcentral describes it as "eukaryotic LSU rRNA". It matches the Rfam family "Eukaryotic large subunit ribosomal RNA", at positions 1 to 635 of the family's 3401-position model. The record is from RNAcentral. Lineage: Eukaryota; Fungi; Glomeromycota.